UACGGAGGAUCCGAGCGUUAUCCGGAUUUAUUGGGUUUAAAGGGAGCGUAGGCGGGUUGUUAAGUCAGUUGUGAAAGUUUGCGGCUCAACCGUAAAAUUGCAGUUGAUACUGGCAUCCUUGAGUACAGUAGAGGUAGGCGGAAUUCGUGGUGUAGCGGUGAAAUGCUUAGAUAUCACGAAGAACUCCGAUUGCGAAGGCAGCCUGCUGGACUGUAACUGACGCUGAUGCUCGGAAGUGUGGGUAUCAAACAGG
Molecule: ribosomal RNA, 253 nt
Filed under: uncultured bacterium
Lineage: Bacteria
Description: partial 16S ribosomal RNA
Rfam family: Bacterial small subunit ribosomal RNA
Source: RNAcentral